UCGGGAAUAUUGGACAAUGGGGGAAACCCUGAUCCAGCCAUGCCGCGUGAGUGAUGAAGGCCUUAGGGUUGUAAAGCUCUUUCGCUGGGGAAGAUAAUGACGGUACCCAGUAAAGAAGCCCCGGCUAACUUCGUGCCAGCAGCCGCGGUAAUACGAAGGGGGCUAGCGUUGUUCGGAAUUACUGGGCGUAAAGCGCACGUAGGCGGGUCGUUAAGUCAGGGGUGAAAUCCCGGAGCUCAACUCCGGAACUGCCUUUGAUACUGGCGAUCUUGAGUUCGAGAGAGGUGAGUGGAAUUCCGAGUGUAGAGGUGAAAUUCGUAGAUAUUCGGAGGAACACCAGUGGCGAAGGCGGCUCACUGGCUCGAUACUGACGCUGAGGUGCGAAAGCGUGGGGAGCAAACAGGAUUAGAUACCCCCGUAGUCC
This 424-nucleotide ribosomal RNA is filed under the name uncultured prokaryote. RNAcentral describes it as "bacterial SSU rRNA". It matches the Rfam family "Bacterial small subunit ribosomal RNA", at positions 355 to 796 of the family's 1533-position model. The record is from RNAcentral.